RNAcentral lists this ribosomal RNA (597 nucleotides) under uncultured fungus. Its description in RNAcentral is "eukaryotic LSU rRNA". The stretch from base 221 to 374 matches the Rfam family "5.8S ribosomal RNA". The record is from RNAcentral. Lineage: Eukaryota; Fungi.
UCCGUAGGUGAACCUGCGGAGGGAUCAUUACCGAGUUAGGGUCUCACCGGCCCGAUCUCCCAACCCUUUGUCUACUUGACCAUCGUUGCUUCGGCGAGCCCGUCCUCACGGACCGCCGGGGGGUUUCUGUACCCCUUGGUCCGCGCUCGUCGAUAGCCCAACCUUUAAAAUCUUUAACUAAACGUGCCCUAAUCUAAGUACAAUUAUUAAAUAAAAGCAAAACUUUCAACAACGGAUCUCUUGGUUCUGGCAUCGAUGAAGAACGCAGCGAAAUGCGAUAAGUAAUGCGAAUUGCAGAAUUCAGUGAAUCAUCGAAUCUUUGAACGCACAUUGCGCCCGCCAGUAUUCUGGCGGGCAUGCCUGUUCGAGCGUCAUUUCAACCCUCAAGCCCCCGGGCUUGGUGUUGGGGAUCGGCGUGCCCUCGCGGCGCGCCGUCCCCUAAAUCUAGUGGCGGUCUCGCUGUAGCUUCCUCUGCGUAGUAGCAACACUCGCACUGGAUCGCAGCGCGGCCACGCCGUUAAACCCCCCACUUCUGAAAGUUUGACCUCGGAUCAGGUAGGAAUACCCGCUGAACUUAAGCAUAUCAAUAAGCGGAGG